CAGCCGCCGCGGUAAUACGAAGGGUGCAAGCGUUAAUCGGAAUUACUGGGCGUAAAGCGUGCGUAGGCGGUGAGUUAAGUCUGCUGUGAAAUCCCCGGGCUCAACCUGGGAAUGGCAGUGGAUACUGGCUCGCUAGAGUGUGUCAGAGGAUGGUGGAAUUCCCGGUGUAGCGGUGAAAUGCGUAGAGAUCGGGAGGAACAUCAGUGGCGAAGGCGGCUUACUGGCUCAUACUGGACGCUGAGGUGCGAAAGCGUGGGGAGCAAACAGGAUUAGAUACCCGGGUAGUCCCUGUCUCUUAUAC
Molecule: ribosomal RNA, 301 nt
Filed under: uncultured bacterium
Lineage: Bacteria
Description: partial 16S ribosomal RNA
Rfam family: Bacterial small subunit ribosomal RNA
Source: RNAcentral